RNAcentral lists this ribosomal RNA (492 nucleotides) under uncultured bacterium. RNAcentral's name for it is "partial 16S ribosomal RNA". It matches the Rfam family "Bacterial small subunit ribosomal RNA", at positions 29 to 507 of the family's 1533-position model. The record is from RNAcentral.
AGUGAACGCUGGCGGUAGGCCUAACACAUGCAAGUCGAACGGCAGCACAGUAAGAGCUUGCUCUUACGGGUGGCGAGUGGCGGACGAGUGAGGCAUACAUCGGAAUCUACUAUUUCGGGGGGGAUAACGUAGGACAACUUCCGCUACUAGCGCAUACGACCUACCGGUGGAAUCAGGGGAUAUUCGGACCUUGCGCGUUUCAAUGAGCCGAUGUCGGAUUAGCUAGUUGGCGGGGUAAAGGCACACCAAGGCGACGAUCCGUAGCUGGUCUGAGAGGAUGAUCAGCCACACUGGAACUGAGACACGGUCCAGACUCCUACGGGAGGCAGCAGUGGGGAAUAUUGGACAAUGGGCGAAAGCCUGACCCAGCCAUACCGCGUGGGUGAAGAAGGCCUUCGGGUCGUAAAGCCCUGUUGUUGGGAAAGAAAAGCAGCAGGUGAAUACCUGGCUGUUCUGACGGUACCCAAAGAAUAAGCACCGGCUAACUUCGUG